This 264-nucleotide long non-coding RNA is filed under the name Salvator merianae (Argentine black and white tegu). RNAcentral's name for it is "lncRNA (ENSSMRG00000011441.1)". Lineage: Eukaryota; Metazoa; Chordata; Lepidosauria; Squamata; Teiidae. The record is from RNAcentral.
UUUCACGGUUUUUUCCCCUCCCUCUUCUAGACCUUGGCCAUGGGAUUCAUGAUAGGCACCGUUGCUAGGUGGAUGUCACAAGCUGUCUGGGUUUUUUCUGUAUCCUGGCCAUUAUCCUUUCUGUGACUGGUAUCUUCGCUGUCAUCAUCCUGGCCCUCAAUUAUAUAUACUGGCUUCACAUGCUGUAUGCAGCUGUUUCUGCCAUUGCCUUCACCCUGGUUAGUGGAGCGUUACUUACUCAAGAAUUAACUAAGGGCNUACAGU